This 296-nucleotide long non-coding RNA is filed under the name Dasypus novemcinctus (nine-banded armadillo). RNAcentral's name for it is "lncRNA (ENSDNOG00000050346.1)". Lineage: Eukaryota; Metazoa; Chordata; Mammalia; Cingulata; Dasypodidae. The record is from RNAcentral.
CAGAUGAUAGAUAAAUACCCAAACAGUUGUGGAAUUGUUUAAAGUAUUUUUCAUAAAUCGUCAUUUAGGAAGCCUGCCUAAAACGUGGUCUGAAUCUCAAAACAUAAGGCCUCAGAAGAGAACAUCGGCAAAGAGCUUGCCUGUCGGCAGUGCCAGCUGAGUGUCUCCAGGGUCUGUGAACCUGAAGCUGCAGCUCCACCUUCCCCACCUAAGUACCCCCAGGAAUAUCAACGUUUUAUCCAAGAUCUACUUCUGAUUUAUACCUGGAGUGGAUAUGCCAGCUCAUCAUUGGGGUA